UAAACCAGGAUUAGAUACCCUAUUAUAUUUAAACAAAUUGGGUAGUAUUAUUAAUAAAAACCUUUAUACUUUGGCGGCAUUUUAUCUUAUUAGAGGAAUAUGUUCAUUAAUCGAAACCACACGAUAGUUUUUACUUACUAUAAAAUUUUAUAUACCCCCGUCUAAAGAAUUUAUUUAAAAUUUUUAUUCCAAAUUAUAUUAAAAAAAGUUAGGUAAAGGUGUAGACUAUUAGUAAGAUUAAAUGUAUUACAUUAAAAAAAAAUUUAAGGAUAAAACAGUUAACUGUUUAUUAAAAGAGGAUUUAUAAGUAAUUUACUUUUAAUAAAAAUUAAUGAAUAAGAAAAUAAAUGUGCACAUAUCGCCCGUCACUCUCACAUAUAAACCAGGAUUAGAUACCCUAUUAUACAUAUCGCCCGUCACUCUCACAUAUAAAC
This 434-nucleotide ribosomal RNA is filed under the name Sancus acoreensis. RNAcentral describes it as "partial 12S ribosomal RNA". Lineage: Eukaryota; Metazoa; Arthropoda; Arachnida; Araneae; Tetragnathidae. The record is from RNAcentral.